Molecule: non-coding RNA, 191 nt
Organism: Penicillium roqueforti
Lineage: Eukaryota; Fungi; Ascomycota; Eurotiomycetes; Eurotiales; Aspergillaceae
Source: the annotation of a RefSeq genome assembly
UAGGAAAGUCCAAUACUUAUUAGGCAUAUACACUUGAAUAUAUUUAUUCAAUAAUUAUAAAAAUAUAAGGAUAUUAACAGAAACUAAAAUUAUUAUAAAAUACUAAAUAGUAAUAAUAAAAUAAUAGCGAACAAGAAUCCUAUGUUAAGUUUUUAUUUAGAAUUAUUAAAAUUAAACAGAAACUGGCUUAA